AAGGUUAAACUUUCAGGGAUCGUUUCUAUAGUUUCUGACUUGACAGAAACGUGCUUCUAAAGUGUAUGGUCUUACUGACCAUGAUGAUGAUGAGUUGUGAUAUUUUCUUCAGGUUGUGAAUCUGAUAGAGGAUAGUGAUUCAUUUCAUCAUAUGUACUCUAUCAUUGAUGAUUGUUUGCGUUUUUUAUAUAAAGUCAGGCUCAAGGUAAUAUGGUCUUAGUGGC
This is a small nucleolar RNA of Mugil cephalus (flathead mullet), 224 nucleotides long. RefSeq annotates it as small nucleolar RNA U3. Lineage: Eukaryota; Metazoa; Chordata; Actinopteri; Mugiliformes; Mugilidae. The transcript has a single exon. The record is from RefSeq and is a predicted model, not a curated record.